GCAUAUCAAUAAGCGGAGGAAAAGAAACUAACAAGGAUUCCCCUAGUAACUGCGAGUGAAGCGGGAAAAGCUCAAAUUUAAAAUCUGUCAGUCUUUGGCUGUCCGAGUUGUAAUCUAGAGAAGUGCUAUCUGCGCUGGACCGUGUACAAGUCUCCUGGAAUGGAGCGUCAUAGAGGGUGAGAAUCCCGUCUUUGACACGGAUUGCCAGGGCUUUGUGAUACGCUCUCAAAGAGUCGAGUUGUUUGGGAAUGCAGCUCAAAAUGGGUGGUAAAUUCCAUCUAAAGCUAAAUAUUGGCGAGAGACCGAUAGCGAACAAGUACCGUGAGGGAAAGAUGAAAAGAACUUUGGAAAGAGAGUUAAACAGUACGUGAAAUUGCUGAAAGGGAAACGCUUGAAGUCAGUCGCGUUGUUCAGGGAUCAACCUUGCUUUUGCUUGGUGUACUUCCUGGUUGACGGGUCAGCAUCAAUUUUGACUAUUGGAAAAAGUUCAAAGGAAUGUGGCAUCUUCGGAUGUGUUAUAGCCUUUGGUCGCAUACAAUGGUUGGGAUUGAGGAACUCAGCACGCCGCAAGGCCGGGUUUUAACCACGUACGUGCUUAGGAUGCUGGCAUAAUGGCUUUAAUCGACCCGUCUUGAAACACGGACCAAGGAGUCUAACAUGCCUGCGAGUGUUUGGGUGGAAAACCCGAGCGCGCAAUGAAAGUGAAAGUUGAGAUCCCUGUCGUGGGGAGCAUCGACGCCCGGACCAGACCUUUUGUGACGGUUCCGCGGUAGAGCAUGUAUGUUGGGACCCGAAAGAUGGUGAACUAUGCCUGAAUAGGGUGAAGCCAGAGGAAACUCUGGUGGAGGCUCGUAGCGAUUCUGACGUGCAAAUCGAUCGUCAAAUUUGGGUAUAGGGGCGAAAGACUAAUCGAACCAUCUAGUAGCUGG
This 929-nucleotide ribosomal RNA is filed under the name Cortinarius taylorianus. RNAcentral's name for it is "partial large subunit ribosomal RNA". It matches the Rfam family "Eukaryotic large subunit ribosomal RNA", at positions 38 to 954 of the family's 3401-position model. Lineage: Eukaryota; Fungi; Basidiomycota; Agaricomycetes; Agaricales; Cortinariaceae. The record is from RNAcentral.